ACUCAAAUGAAUUGACGGGGGCCCGCACAAGCAGUGGAGUAUGUGGUUUAAUUCGAAGCAACGCGAAGAACCUUACCAGGGCUUGACAUAUAUAUGAAAAAUACAGAGAUGUAUAAUACCUUUGGGACAUAUAAACAGGUGGUGCAUGGUUGUCGUCAGCUCGUGUCGUGAGAUGUUGGGUUAAGUCCCGCAACGAGCGCAACCCCUGUUGUUAGUUGCUAACAGGUAAAGCUGAGCACUUUAACGAGACUGCCGGUGAUAAAUCGGAGGAAGGUUGGGAUGAUGUCAAAUCAUCAUGCUCUUUAUGUCCUGGGCUACACACGUACUACAAUGGCUGUUACAGAGUGAAACGAAUCAGAGAUGAGGAGUGAAACACAAAAGGCAGUCACAGUUCGGAUUGUAGGCUGAAAUUCGCCUACAUGAAGCCGGAAUUGCUAGUAAUUGCAGGUCAGCAUACUGCAGUGAAUACGUUCCCGGGCCUUGUACACACCGCCCGU
RNAcentral lists this ribosomal RNA (497 nucleotides) under uncultured bacterium. RNAcentral's name for it is "bacterial SSU rRNA". It matches the Rfam family "Bacterial small subunit ribosomal RNA", at positions 899 to 1397 of the family's 1533-position model. The record is from RNAcentral.